Molecule: long non-coding RNA, 2552 nt
Organism: Gossypium raimondii (Peruvian cotton)
Lineage: Eukaryota; Viridiplantae; Streptophyta; Magnoliopsida; Malvales; Malvaceae
Exons: 3
Source: RefSeq, a predicted model, not a curated record
UUUUGCUGCUGUGGCUGGCUUAGCUGGAGCUGGACAGGCACAUGUACGUCCUCCCCAAUGCUUUGACCAUUUGUGACUACCAAUUCUUUGUUUGCACCAUUGACAUCCCUUGUUCCGUAAACCUGGAUGAGAAACUUUUCUGUUAAGGUUUACCUUCUUAUAGAGUUCCACAUUUUCUUGAUGAAUGAGAUUACCCUGCAACAAGACAAUGCAAUUUAGGCACUUUGAGCUAAUUCAGUAUGAUAGUAAGUAGUUGAAUGUAUCAUUUCAGGGGUUACCUUUCUGGUCAGUUCUUGAAUUUCAUCCAUUAACAUUUGGUCCUACAGCAGUGGAGGAAAUGUUACCAAACGGCGUUUGCUUUAUUUGGCAUGCUAUUUUGAACUUAAAAACUGACGUGACAUGGAAAUAGAAUUUUCAAACCUUCUUCAUACGGACACCACGAAGGCUCAUUUCCAACUGGCUCUCCAAUUUCUGUAAAUCUUUUACGGUCAAUCCAGAAAGUUCCUCACCCAUCAUUUGCCUGUUUUGACGUGCAGGAGCAUAAUUUCAGUAAACAGGAUUUGUUUCGUAGACAAUAAAGCUUUUCAUAGGCAUACACAGGAGAUGCAAUGGACCUUUUAUUUCUUGUCUAUUAUUGGGGCCAUUUUUACUGUUGGUGCAUUCAAUGCUUUAAGGUUUUGCAGUUGUUGUCUAAGAACUGCUGCCUCCCUUUGCCAUAACUGAAAAAUAAGAUUUUGCAGUUGUUGAUACAAUGGUACGAUUCAGUCACAGAAUUUAUUGCUCAAAGUUUGAAUGUGCAUAUUAAUAAAUUCAACAAUGAAACAUUACCAUAACAAUGCAUAUUUAUAGACCUGACACUGCUAUAGAUGUAAGGUAAUUCACAAAAGAAUCAAACACAUUUAGGUCCAAGGCUCUUGCUAGAUUCUUUUUUAAAUCUUGUAAAGGAAGUUGUGUUAUGUAUUAAAUUAAUGAGUUAGUCAAACCAGGAUUUUGAUAGUUUAAUUAUUUGGAUGAUAAGUCACUUAUCAUGUCCUUGGUGUACUUGUCAAAGUUAUGCACACUAUCAGCUACUUAGUUCUUUCUCUGGAUGCUUGAUUCAUUUUUUGAAUCCUUAUCAAGCAACUUAGCUAGUAAAAUUAGGCUGUUAGGGCCAGCUUUUCAAAAUCCCAUGGGAAAUUUAUAUCAACUGAGAGUCUGACAGAUGCUGUUUAUUGUAGAAAUUGCAAAUUGCAAAAAUUGUUCUUGAAGUAAUAGAGCUUCUAUUUGGAGAUUAGAGAAUGCUUUUGGCUUAUAUCACUGGUAAAAAGUUUUAAGGCAUAUAAAAGAGAUGGAAAAAUGAAUGCAAAAGUAGAUAGAUCAUAGAUGAGUCUCUGGAUUGAUCUAGAAGCAGUAAAAUGUUUAAAGGCAUAAACGAGAUGGAGAUAUGAAUGUGAAAGUAGAUAGAUCAUGGAUGAGUCUCUGGAUUUGAUCUAGAUUCAAGAAAUACAAGAUAUAUUUACCCUUGGAGUAUGCUGUUGAUUUGGAGCUGUUUGUUGAUAUGAAUUAUUGGAUUAAGCUUAUGCAUUUUUUGAUACAUAAAAGAGAUGAAGAUAUAUCUUCUCAAGAAAAUUGUGAGAUCUAAACUUGAGGGGAAGAUAAAAUAGGCUUUACUACUGUCAACUCUUGUACUGGAGAUUUCACCAUGGUGAAGUACAAUAAUUUUUCAUGGACAAGCUUGUAUGGGAGAGUUCAAGGCUUCAUCAUCUACUCCAAUCUUCAAAGAGUAAGAUAGGUGCAGAGUAAAUUUCCUAUCGACAAUGGCUUUCUAAAUUAAGAAAAUAUUCUUCUGUUUACAUAGGAACCUUAGAUAGCUAAAUGCAAUGUUAGUAACUUUUGCAGGUUGAAUGGCAUCACUAUGAGACAGGAUCAGUUAUAUGCUUUUCACACUCUAUUGCACUACAUUUAUGUAAGGUGUUGCCUUGUUCCAGUAUUAUAUGCAUACAGUAUAUUGAUCUUCUACCCACCAAGCCUCAAAAAGAUCCUUCUGUGAUGACUCCAUGUAGCAAUUUGUGGUAGGAAUCUGGGCUACUAAACAUAAACAUAAAACAUGUAAGUUCAGCAUAUUACUAAGAACUAUAGACAACAUGAAGACUAGUGGAUGAUUUUACCACAAAUCCUCUCAUUGGAAUCUUACUGGUCAGAAUUAAGACCUGCUCAAACUGUUCAAUUAUCUAUGCUUGGUCUGGACCUUUUUUUUUUUAAUUUUAAAAUAAAUUCUCUUUCGCUGAGCUAAAAGUAUGUCCUACACUUGUAGAGUUUCUAGACAUCAUCUCACCAUAGUAUUUCCUUUUUAUUAGUUUCAAAAAGUCACUUGCUAGUUGUACCCAUGGUGUAUCAUUUGAAUAUAGUAUUUAUCUUUUGGCAGCUGUUUCCUGAGGUUUAUGAUGAGAUUGCCUGUCUUCUAGAAAUUAAAAGUCCCAACCUCAGAAGAAAAGAGUAUUUUGGUGGGUAUAAUGACCAACAAAGGUUUAGUUAAAUCUUAACAUAGAUUUGAAGAGAGCAGAGCUUAGUUU